CAUAAUCCGUGCGAGCCGCCGUUCGGGAUCCGACGAGAUCCGCCCUGAUAACCGCCACCGCCUCCCUCCUUCGCUCGCCACGCCCCCGCCCUACCCUCUCCCGACUCUCCCCGUCUCCGCCGCCGGGCUCGCCCAGGCGCCGCCGCACAAUUCGCUGGAGACGUGGUGGGAGUCUGUCUCACAGGCGUGGUCCCCAGUCUUGGCGCUGGCCUCAAUCCUCCCGCCGCGGGCCACCCCGCCUGUCGUGGCGCUGGCGGACACGGACCGCCCAGCGCGCUCCUAGCGCACCAUCUGCCCGCGGCGCCGGCAAGCACGGUGCUUCGCCGGACACAUGGGGCGAGGAUGGCCAGUAUCGAGCCAACAACGGACAGUGGCGACUGCUAUUUCCGUCCUUGGACCGGCGCCAGCGGCUACUUCCAUGCUGCACCAACGACAACAGCCAUAGGGAACUGGUGUUCGAUGCCAGCCACCUCAGGCUCCAGAGAGUGGCAAGCUAUUUUACUUUUUCUCUCCAUUCUGUUACGUGAUUAUUGAUGGAUUCCUUGAUCGGUGCCUUGAUUGUAUAACUCAUUGAUCGAUGCCCUGGUUGUAUGAUCAAUUCAUUCUGAGAUUUGAUGCCUUGAUUGCACGCUUCUGUCCGCUAUAGCAGUUGUUGAAUCCAUUGAUAGACAUAUUUCAGUAUUUCAGAUUACUGUUUUUCAUGUUUAGUAUUGGUUCUGGUCUGUGUAUCUGUUCUGUUGCAUAUGCACUCCUUUCUUUUCAGACAGAUAAAGUUAAUGCCUUGUAAGUGAAUAUGAGACUCUUCUAUUUUUAUAGUGCUCUGCAUCAAUUGUGCUUGAUAGGGCCUGCUUAUUAUUUGCUUUUGAAAAAAUAAUGUUAAUGUGUCCAUCCAGGUGCGCUCUCACUUUAAUGGUGACAGAUACUUGACAUGCACAUCUAUUGUUUGAAGGUGGCUUAUUUUUUUCUCCUUGUUAUAUGGCUAAUAAAGCAUUUUACAUCUGAAAGUUAUGUUAUCAUAUGAUUAAUUAGGCAAUCAGAGCUGAUAGGAAUUCAGAAGACUGAGCCAUGAAAUUGGUUUGGAGUUGAGCCAGAUGAGUGCUGCCGCCGGCUUACGACCAAUUGGAGCAGUUGUCUUUAUGCAGUGUGGUAUCCUGAAGAUUUGCUUGAGGACAAUGGUCGACAUGCUGGAACAUACCAGACUUCGUAAGGAACCAUCAAGCACUGGGAAUCGAUUUGGCUUCUGUUCGUAUUUAUUCCAAUACAUGGUUGCCUGACUCUAAAUAAGAAAAUCACCUUGAAUUUGUGACUUCUUGGAUGCAACAACAAAUCGAUCAUGCAGCCAAUUUGCUAGGGAUGCGCAUUAUGAUUGGGGAGUUUGGGUUAUCACUGAAGGUUGGGAAGUUUGAUAGUGAGUUUCCUGAAACUUACACGGAGACAGUUUACAACAAUUUCUUGAACGAGUGAUUGUAGGUGGCUACCUUUGGCAGCUCUUCCCUGAAGGUGAAGAGCACAUGGACGAUGCUUAUGCAGCUUUUAUUGCAAUAUUAUCAUCCACGUUAAAUGUAUUUGAGAAUCACUCAAGGAGGCUAGAAAGUUGAGAGUAUGCUGCUUCCCUACUUCAGUACUUCGUCUAUGAUAUGUUACAAGGGUUUUCUAGAAUUUUGACUUCACUGAUGCAGACAAGUUAAUUAGUACAUUGUGGUAGUUAGAUCUUACGAGUUAUAUAAGUUGAAUCUUGUUGGCAAUAAUUUUGAAACAAUUUUUUUGAAGUUAUAAACAAAGUCUGUGGGCAAUGUGUCCGACUAUUUGUGCAGGACACAAGAAAAAUAAUUUGAAUUUGUUGAAUUCAUAGGCUGAGUUUGGCAUUGAGGUGGAAUAUGAUAAAUCUUUUUCAACAAGCUUUUCUAUUUUUUUAUUUGGCUAACCAACUUUUUCCUAUAUUUUCUUGCAUGUUAUAAAAUAAAUUAGACACAACAUAGUUUAGUAACCCCAACCUGAGGUAUAAUUUGACGCAUGGGCUAUUAAUUUGACCCUGGGGUAGGUCUGCGAAAGUAUUGAUGGUACGGUGCCAGCGUAAGCUGCUCAUAAUUCAACAUGUUUUGAAGUAUUGAUGUUAGUAGCCGGUUGUUUUUUGGUACCGUUUGUUAGCAAAACGCGCCAGGUACCGUUUGUUAUCAAAACUUAUCACGAUCAAUUUUGGGGGCGCCCCUCUCUCUCUCUCUCUCUCUGGCCAGCUAUAAAUAUAGGUACACAUCCCACACCGCAAGUCACACACCACCACCCAGUCGCAGCCAUGACGAACAAGCUCUUGGCGACCUCCCUACUCCUCAUCGCUGUGCUUCUCCUAAUCAAUGGCGUGCAAUCUGGCAAGGUUUCUGGAAAAAAACCACCUGUGUAAUCCGGCAAGAUUCUUAAAAAAAACAAUCUGUCAGAGUGAAGAGCGGGCUCCUUUGCCGACAACGGUAACCUCCUGAGGUGGUGCUCGAGCACGAUCACCCGGCAGUGGCACUACCCCUACGGCGCCUCCUCCCUAGCCGCCAGCAGCCUCCGCCCCACGGGCCGCUUCUCCGACCACCUGGUCCAGCCCGACAUCCUCACCACGAUACUCAACAUGGGAAAAAUUGAGGGCCCGCUGGAGCGCAAGCUGACCAUCCAGAACUACUGCGACGCGUUCGGGAUGAACUUUGUCGGCGGCGGCUCGGGCAUCUUCGAGCCGUUCCUCCUGCCGUUGCCGCACAAGCUCAAGCUACCGACGCUCGCCGCCCAAAUCAACCAGUUCGAGAAGCUCCUCCACGACCACGUCAUCUUGAACUGGCACCUCGACGGCUCCAUCGCCCUCGUCGCCAUCUCCGGCCAUGUCGGGGGAAUGACCCCGGGUAGGGUCAUAACCGCACAACUCUAGCCGAGAUAACGAAGGCAAGGCCGGCAUCACAGAGUACAACUAACGCUGGGCCGGCAUACCCGGUGUAUGCCGGUGCAGCUCACUUGCUUUACGAGUUUGCAGGACAAGGAUGAGCACGUCGGUCUUGGCAGUAGCCGAGAUCCCUCAACGGUCUUAUCCUGGCCACGCGGUGCGGUGUAAAGCGGGGCCAUCAUCACUCCAGGGAAAGCAGUCAGUGCCUGUAUGCCGGUGCCAGGCGACCACGCAAAAGAAGCACCGAAAGGGAAUUUAUGACGGAAGCCGGCAGAGGAUAGCUGUACCCGCUGCCGGCUGGCAGAAAAAGUAAAGUUGCCUUGUCCCCUGCGGUGCUGCCUGGAGGGAACCAAGCCGCGUGUCCGGUGGAGCCCAAGGAUGGUGACGUUAGACUCGGCCCACAUGGCAGUGUACCAUGUGCGGCCUAUAAAUAGAACCUUACCCCUCUGUAGAAAAGAGAGAGAGAACCUCAAGGAGCACCAUUGUAGAACUUCUCUAUCCCGGCUAAUAUGACAAGGCAGGAGUAGGAGUCUUACCUCGGCAAGAGGGCUCCGAACCUAGGUAGAUCUGGGUGUUCUUGCGUGUUUUGUGCAUGUUCUUC
Molecule: long non-coding RNA, 3515 nt
Organism: Brachypodium distachyon (stiff brome)
Lineage: Eukaryota; Viridiplantae; Streptophyta; Magnoliopsida; Poales; Poaceae
Exons: 4
Source: RefSeq, a predicted model, not a curated record